GAAUGAGGUGAUGACAGAUAUGAUUCCCUAUUGGUUUGAUUGCCAAUAUGAUGGCAAUUCAUUUGUAUUAGCUCUAUCUGAUCAUUC
This is a non-coding RNA of Punica granatum (pomegranate), 87 nucleotides long. Lineage: Eukaryota; Viridiplantae; Streptophyta; Magnoliopsida; Myrtales; Lythraceae. The record is from Rfam.